AUAGAACUAAGUUACUUAUCGGUUAUAAAUCUGACCCAGGGCUCCCAUACUUCCUGGAAGAGUGUCUGUUUAUGGGAGAUGGAGGUGUGUAUUUCCUCCAUGGUCCUGAGUUUAUCUACCUAGGUGAUCCAUUCCCUGAUCGAUGGAGCUGCAGGGUUUUUCCACUUUGCAGGGAUGAGCAGGUUGGCUGCUGUUAUCAGGUGGAUAAGGAGGAGUCGAUGUGGUUUGGGGAGUUUCAUGAACAGUAGUGUCUGUGGGUUAAGAGGUAGUUGAAUACCCGUUAUCGUUUUGAGCAAUUUCUCUAUAUCAUUCCAGUAUCUCUGGAUUAGCGGGCAAUGCCACCAGGUAUGGGCUAGGGAUGCUCCUGGUUGGAUAAAUC
This is a non-coding RNA of Pelobates cultripes (western spadefoot toad), 379 nucleotides long. The record is from the annotation of a GenBank genome assembly. NCBI's taxonomy places the organism in Eukaryota, Metazoa, Chordata, Amphibia, Anura, Pelobatidae.